RNAcentral lists this small RNA (459 nucleotides) under Drosophila mojavensis. RNAcentral describes it as "GI26776". The record is from RNAcentral. Lineage: Eukaryota; Metazoa; Arthropoda; Insecta; Diptera; Drosophilidae.
GCAAACAAGUUUAAAGACUAAAUAAAGUCAAUUUAAGUAAAUCACAAAUGGAAAAAUUAAUUGAGAUUGGCCAACUCAAGAAGAACAACGGCCACGUUAAGAGUUUUCACUCUACAGCUCAACUAUUUCAUGUGCUCCAGAAAUAGAUCACGAAAUGAAAGUUCUCGCUUUACGUUUCCGUUUUUCCGUCUUGUCUAAAGAGCUGUUGUUGCUGCUGUUGCUGGUGUGUGGCGCGGCAAGGCAAGGCAAAGGAAAAUUCCGGGCCAGUUAGAUGUAUGCAGUGUGUGUAUGCGAAGGGCACGCCUAGACAGGCACACAGCGCCACGUGCAAGUGCAGUCAGGAUUAGUAAAAAAAUAACUACAUUUUUCUUUUUACCUAACUUACACAGCUAUCUGGUAUGCAACAGCUUGUGGAAAAUGAAUUUAAUUGAAAUUGCAAUAAGCACAGUGCGCUUUGAU